GCAAGUCGAGCGCGAAAGUACUUUGGUGUGAGUAGAGCGGCGGACGGGUGAGUAACGCGUAAGAAUCUACCUAGUAGUGGGGGACAACUCGAGGAAACUCGAGCUAAUACCGCAUACGCCCUACGGGGGAAAGCGGGGAACUUCGGGCCUCGCGCUAUUAGAUGAGCUUGCGUUGGAUUAGCUAGUUGGUGAGGUAAUGGCUCACCAAGGCUACGAUCCAUAGCUGGUCUGAGAGGAUGAUC
This 242-nucleotide ribosomal RNA is filed under the name uncultured bacterium. RNAcentral's name for it is "partial 16S ribosomal RNA". It matches the Rfam family "Bacterial small subunit ribosomal RNA", at positions 57 to 305 of the family's 1533-position model. The record is from RNAcentral.